Small nucleolar RNA from Electrophorus electricus (electric eel), 216 nucleotides. Its record names the gene U3. It matches the Rfam family "Small nucleolar RNA U3". Rfam says of the family: Small nucleolar RNAs (snoRNAs) are involved in the processing and modification of rRNA in the nucleolus. There are two main classes of snoRNAs: the box C/D class, and the box H/ACA class. The record is from Ensembl. Lineage: Eukaryota; Metazoa; Chordata; Actinopteri; Gymnotiformes; Gymnotidae.
AAGACUAUACUUUCAGGGAUCAUUUCUAUAGUUUCUAACUGUGAAAUGUGAUUCGAAAGUGUUUUGUCUCCCUAACCACGAUGAUGAGUUGAGAUGUUUUCUUCUGAGCGUGAAUCGGGCGGAGAGUAAUGAUUUAUCAUCAUACGCUCUCUGUCAUUGAUGAACGUUCCUGCUGUGUUUCACAGUGCUGGAGGAAGAGAACAUGUACAGAGUGGU